GAAGAUCCUCAAGUGCACCGACGAUGGUCCGGUUCCUUGAUUUUUUACUAGGUUUUCUGCGUCCUGUUUUCGUCUGCCGGGAAUGAUCCCGUAUCGCCGACGAGUGACCUUCCUGAGUUCUCGAAGUUUGGUCGGCCCAUGAUCGUAACUAUUUCCCUUUCGACAAGUAUUUCUUGAUAAACUGCCGAAAGCUCGGCUCCCUCGAUGUUCCUGCUGGCAUGAUGGCCUUUGCUUCACUGCUUGCCAUUGCGCAUUGAUUAGUUGGAGGUGCGAGUACCUGCAAAGAGGGCGAAGAGCUUGAAAUUGAUGGAGCAGAGGCGGUACUCGGCCACCUUUUCUCCAUCGGGGCAGCAACUUGUGGUUUUCCCCAGUCCGCCUUAGGCUGUAUUUUUCUCAAAGACUGCAAAUUCUUAUUGUUAUGCCUAGUUCUGGUGAGGAAAAUGCUAUAGAUAACUAUGCCAUCAUCUCGUAACAGAUUAAAGUGUUUAGCUGCUUUACAGCUCUCAUCCAAUUGUCCAUAUGAAGUACAAAAAUAUCAACAGACAAAAGUGAGUACGUUUUUUGUUAUAUUAUGCAUAUUCUGGUAAAUGAUUGUCACUAUGUCUCCUUUGACCACACAAGGUGUCAUCCGUCAGGUUUCUUCACCAAAAAUUAGAAAGUUUUAUGCUUUAUUGACAGGCUACAUUGCACAUACAUGGUCCAACCAAUGUCUCAGUUGUAGGAAAUUUUGGUUUACGAGUAACAUUUUGAUCCUUGUGUUAUUUGUGGUCAAUACUCUGUAUCUACAGCCAUGUUAACAUGUGGUGCCUUGGAUUGUUUUCUACACUUUCCUCCACAUUAUGUUCUUUCAUAGUCAGGUUGUGUCAAUCAGACUGAUAAGAUGAUGCUAUUGCAGGUUCAUUUACUUGUUUAUUGGUGUUGGAGUUACUCUGUUUGUCAUAUCAUGCUUUGGCUGCAUCGCAGCAGUCACAAGAAAUGGAUGUUGCCUGUCUUUUGUAUCCCUGAAGAUUUGCUGAUUUCUACAAUUUAUCUUAGAUUUCUUACCUGUAAAUUCUAAGUGCUAUAAUUAUUUACUUUCAUUUCAUUCAAGGCAUAUCUGACUCCUCAUUCUUCAUGUGGUUCUGCCAUUGCUUGAAGUAUUUUUUUCGCCUUCUUGUUUCAUUUGAUCAAACAUAAGUGAAGGCUUGAAAACAAUGGAGGUUUUCUAUAUUUCUUUGUGUAGUUUAUGAAAUCUAAUACUGAGCAAAAAAAACAUUAUGUCCAGAUCAAUCUCAUCAUGACUAAGUUCAACUUAUUCACACUUGAAUCCACUAUUCUUGGCAUAAUUUCUUUCCGUGCCGUUCUAAGUGAUAAGCUGAUGCUGAAAAUGCUUCUAACAUAAAACUAUGCAAGUUCUAGAAUUUAUAUUUGUGUCUAGUUGUCAGUUUGAUGCUUUACUUAACCUAGAUAGUAUUCUUUCUUGGUGACCUUGUUGAUUCUGGUCGAGUUAGUUAGGUGUUGCAGCUUUCAUAUUGUUUGAUCACAGCUGGAAGGAUGUGAGUCUUGUUCUAACCUCUCUAAUUUCUGUGCUGGUUCUCCUUUCAAGCUAGUUUUGACAUGUAGUUCAUUUGCAGUAUAUUCCAGCUGUUGUAACUGGAAAUUUUGACAUGAUGGAUGAUUUUUUGGAGUAUCACUUGAAGAUAGCAAAAUGGGUAGCACUUGGUGCGCUGUUGUUUUGGAGUAGCUCCAACAAUAAAAGUACGAAAGCAGUGAUGAUGAAUAUAAUGCUCCGAGAUAUGACAUCCGGGAACCAUUGAUCAUUGGGCAAGGAGUUCCAGCAACUGGAGUACCUGUACACAGUGCUCUUGAUCAUCAUCCAAACAGUACUGUUGCAUAUAUCCAAUGGCUGAGGGAAAAGUACGGUCUUGAUCCCUCUAUGUUCACCUACAAUUCAUCAGGCCCAGGCAGAAAUCAGCAAGCCAUGGUAGCUCCUGCUGAAGAAAGCGGUUGUUGUGCCAUGUUAUGAAAUUUUGAGUUGUCGGUGGACUAUGAACCUUGCUUUCCGCUAGUAAUUUGUGAUGUUUUGAAGGUCUUUUUUCUUCUCUUUUUUUUUUUUUUUUUUCACUUGUAUGGUUUAUAUAAGCAAAGACUGUUGUUGUCUAUUUACCAUCAGAAUUAUGCUGCAUGAAGAUUGUACAUCUCUCAAUUGUUUUCAGGGUGAACUAAUGAAGUAGUUACUAAAUGUCAA
Musa acuminata AAA Group (dessert banana) is the source of this 2227-nucleotide long non-coding RNA. RefSeq lists it as uncharacterized. Lineage: Eukaryota; Viridiplantae; Streptophyta; Magnoliopsida; Zingiberales; Musaceae. The record is from RefSeq and is a predicted model, not a curated record. The transcript is spliced from 4 exons.